UUCGUAGGCGGUGUGGCAAGUCGGGAGUGAAAUCUCUGGGCUCAACUCAGAGGCUGCUUCCGAAACUGCUGUGCUUGAGUGUGAGAGAGGCUCGUGGAAUUGCAGGUGUAGCGGUGAAAUGCGUAGAUAUCUGCAGGAACACCCGUGGCGAAAGCGGCGAGCUGGAUCACUACUGACGCUGAGGAACGAAAGCUAGGGGAGCAAACAGGAUUAGAUACCCUGGUAGUCCUAGCCCUAAACGAUCAGGACUUGGGGUGCCGCCCGUUCGGGCGUCGUCCCGGAGCUAACGCGUUAAGUCCUGCACCUGGGGAGUACGGUCGCAAGACUGAA
RNAcentral lists this ribosomal RNA (330 nucleotides) under uncultured bacterium. Its description in RNAcentral is "bacterial SSU rRNA". It matches the Rfam family "Bacterial small subunit ribosomal RNA", at positions 568 to 898 of the family's 1533-position model. The record is from RNAcentral.